GACGAACGCUGGCGGCGUGCUUAACACAUGCAAGUCGAACGGAAAGGCCUGCUUUCCCUUGUGGAUUGCGGGUACUCGAGUGGCGAACGGGUGAGUACCACGUGAGUGAUCUGCCCCCAACUUGGUUAUAAGCCUGGGAAACUGGGUCUAAUUCCCUAUAGGACUGCAGGGUGGUCCCUGUGGUGGAAAACGAUUUUCUAGUGGUUGGGGAUGACCUCGCGGCCUAUCAGCUUGUUGGUGGGGUAAUGGCCUACCAAGGCGGCGACGGGUAGCCGGCCUGAGGAGGUGGACGGCGUCAUUGAGACUGAGCUGCGACACAGACACCUAGGCGCGGCAGCGAUUGGGACUGUAGGAAGCAGGGGGGAAGCCUGGAGAAGGGAGGCAACGCUGAGGAUGCCAGGCUUCGGGAUGUAAGCUGCUUUCGGGCGUGAAGAGGCCACCUGGUUGGGAAGGUAGUGACGGUAGUGGUAGAAGAAGCCCCGGCUAACUACGUG
This 494-nucleotide ribosomal RNA is filed under the name uncultured bacterium. Its description in RNAcentral is "partial 16S ribosomal RNA". It matches the Rfam family "Bacterial small subunit ribosomal RNA", at positions 28 to 507 of the family's 1533-position model. The record is from RNAcentral.